Molecule: RNA transcript, 2328 nt
Organism: Apis laboriosa (Himalayan honeybee)
Lineage: Eukaryota; Metazoa; Arthropoda; Insecta; Hymenoptera; Apidae
Gene name: proclotting enzyme-like
Exons: 11
Source: RefSeq, a predicted model, not a curated record
UGCUUGAUGUACUUGAAUGUUUCAGAAUUGUGCAUAAUAUGGAGUUUGCUAACGAGUUCCUGGUCAUACACCGAAGAAAUUACUCAUUAUCGUUAUCAUUCAGCAUCAAACAAAUUUGGAACAUCUCAGACAUUUAUAACACCGAUAAAAAGAUGGAGAGAACCAGAUAGAUGGGAUAGUAGUGAUCCACAAAGAUUGGGUCCACCAAUUUUUCGAAAAAAUAUGCAUAUCAGACCUUACGUAAGAUUAGCGAAAGUUGAAGAAAAACGAGAACAGCCGGAUCCUCUGGUUACGAUUACCGAAACUUUGGGUGCCUUAAAUACUGUCGGGAGUUAUAUCGUUAAUAUGACCAGAGGAGUGGAGAACUCAAAUUAUCCACCAAAGGAAUUACCAUCAGCUAUAUACACUAUUUCAAAGAAUAUUUUAGGACGCAAUGUAACAGAUAGUAUUGCACCGCUAGUCCGAGGUGUAGCUUUACCUCUACGACCUAUACCGACCGAAAGUUCUUCUGUCUCUUCUGUUUCUUCUUCUCCUGCAGAGAUUAAUCAAAACAUUAGAGAAAAAGAAUCAGUGAUAUCGUCGGUCGAUUGUACUACGGCAGAAGGCAAUCUUGGAAAAUGUCAGGAUUUAAGUAACUGUCCUCAAUUGUUACUCGAUUUGACCAAACUCAGACAAUCAUUAUGCUUUAAAAGUUUAUUUGUUCCGGGCGUUUGUUGCCCAUUGACGGAUAAAGUCGACAAUAAUGGAACUAGCUCGAUAGCCGGUAUAAUUCCAGCACCAGGAAUCGAGCCACCCAUACAUUCUCCAUCGAGACCACCAGUCCGACCAACGAAGCCACAUCAAACUCCUCGACCCAUUCCAUUGUUUCCUGUCAUUACAACUGUAUCUCCUAUCAAUCCAUCGGUAAAUCAUUCAACUAAUUUCUUUGGAUCUUCAACAUCCGGCAGCACUAUUGAUAAUAAUUUUAUACAAAACGAUGAAGAAUGUGGAGUAAGAAACUCAGGUAAAUAUCGAGUAGUCGGCGGAGAAGAAGCUCUUCCAGGACGUUGGCCUUGGAUGGCAGCGAUUUUUUUACAUGGCUCUAAACGCACAGAAUUUUGGUGUGGUGGAUCUUUGAUUGGAUCGCGAUACAUUUUAACUGCGGCUCAUUGUACACGCGAUCACCGUCAACGGCCAUUUGCUGCUAAACAAUUCACUGUACGUCUUGGAGACAUAGAUCUUGAAAGGAAUGACGAACCAUCCGCGCCAGAAACUUACAUGGUUAAACAAAUUCAUGCACAUCCAAAAUUCUCUCGUGUUGGAUUUUAUAAUGAUAUUGCAGUUUUGGAGUUGACGAGGACUGUUCGAAAAUCUCCUUAUGUAAUACCAAUUUGUUUACCACAAGCACAUUAUCGAAACGAACGAUUUGCUGGUGCUAGACCAACCGUUGUUGGAUGGGGUACUACCUAUUAUGGUGGAAAAGAAAGCACGGUACAGCGGCAAGCAGUGCUUCCAGUAUGGAGAAACGAAGAUUGCAAUGCAGCUUAUUUUCAACCAAUUACUAGUAAUUUUCUUUGUGCUGGUUAUAGUCAAGGCGGCAAAGAUGCUUGUCAAGGUGAUUCCGGUGGUCCACUUAUGCUUAGAGCAGAUGAAUGAAAACUAAAAGUAACUCAGUUCCAAAUUUCAAAAGUUUCGUCGAACAAAUGAUCGAUGGAGCGCUAAAAAAUAAUGAUCAAAUUGUACAAUUUCAUCAAAUGAUUUAUGAGAAAUGGAAUUUCAAGAAAUUAUUGGAAUUAGAAAAUGCUAACUAUAAACAAAAUGAAGAAUCUUUAGAAUCGAAAGAGAAUAUAUCAGCAACGGUAGCGCAUCGUAGAUCGCGUCGCUAUAAAUAUAAGCGAACUUCGGUAACGAUUUUCCAUAAAAUGCCUAGUCAAAAAGAUGUGUCAGAAAUAAGACAAACACCAAACUUCGUUUCGAUUAACAAUAAGGAAUUUACUAAUGAAAAAGAGGAUUUGAAUAAACUAGAUGACAUUAAUCUUUCUCCUAUCAUUGGUGAUACUAAAGUUAUUGAACUUUGGAGCAACUCAACAAACCGCGCAGCAGAUAAAUUACAAAUUGCAACAAACAACGUUUCUUUGGUUGACUGUGAUCAUAUGCAUGGGUUAUUAUUCUAUUUAUAAAAAAUCAAAUUUCGUCAAAUUUAUUGAAUUUAGAGAAUAGUUUGCAACAUAUACUUGUUUGCUUAAAAAAUAAAAUAUAGAUUAGCAAGUCAGCGACAAAAUGAAAAAAAACUAUCCUUUGAAGCUUGGAAAAAUAAGAAAACUAUCACAUAUAAACGAAUACUUAAAA